Molecule: ribosomal RNA, 277 nt
Filed under: uncultured bacterium
Lineage: Bacteria
Description: partial 16S ribosomal RNA
Rfam family: Bacterial small subunit ribosomal RNA
Source: RNAcentral
GAUAAACGCUGGCGGCGUGCCUAACACAUGCAAGUCGAACGUCCUGGGUUCUUCGGAACGCAGGGAGUGGCGGACGGGUGAGUACCACGUGGGUGACCUGCCUUCGAGUGAGGAAUACCGGCGAGAAAUCGCCGACAAGACCGCAUGGGCGCGCUCUGCUGCGGCGGAGCGCGCAAAGCCCUGCUUCGGGAGGGCGCUCGAAGAGGGGCCUGCGCCCGAUUAGCUGGUUGGUGAGGUAAGGGCUCACCAAGGCGACGAUCGGUAGCUGGUCUGAGAG